Molecule: ribosomal RNA, 513 nt
Filed under: uncultured bacterium
Lineage: Bacteria
Description: partial 16S ribosomal RNA
Rfam family: Bacterial small subunit ribosomal RNA
Source: RNAcentral
GACGAACGCUGGCGGCGUGCCUAAUACAUGCAAGUUGAGCGCUGAAGGUUGGUACUUGUACCGACUGGAUGAGCAGCGAACGGGUGAGUAACGCGUGGGGAAUCUGCCUUUGAGCGGGGGACAACAUUUGGAAACGAAUGCUAAUACCGCAUAAAAACUUUAAACACAAGUUUUAAGUCUGAAAGAUGCAAUUGCAUCACUCAAAGAUGAUCCCGCGUUGUAUUAGCUAGUUGGUGAGGUAAAGGCUCACCAAGGCGAGGAUACAUAGCCGACCUGAGAGGGUGAUCGGCCACAUUGGGACUGGAACACCGCACAAACUCCUACGGGAGGCAGCAGUAGGGAAUCUUCGGCAAUGGACGAAAGUCUGACCGAGCAACGCCGCGUGAGUGAAGAAGGUUUUCGGAUCGUAAAACUCUGUUGGUAGAGAAGAACGUUGGUGAGAGUGGAAAGCUCAUCAAGUGACGGUAACUACCCAGAAAGGGACGGCUAACUACGUGCCAGCAGCCGCAGUAA